GGCCUACCAUGGUGGUAACGGGUAACGGGGUGUUAGGGCACGACACCGGAGAGGGAGCCUGAGAAACGGCUACCACAUCCAAGGAUGGCAGCAGGCGCGCAAAUUACCCAAUCCCGACACGGGGAGGUAGUGACAAUAAAUAACAAUACGGGGUUCUUUAGGAUCUCGUAAUUGGAAUGAGUACAAUUUAAAUCUCUUAACGAGGAACAAUUGGAGGGCAAGUCUGGUGCCAGCAGCCGCGGUAAUUCCAGCUCCAAUAGCGUAUAUUAAAGUUGUUGCAGUUAAAAAGCUCGUAGUUGAAUUUCGGGGUUAGUAAGUUGGUCAUGCCUUUGGUAUGCACUGGCUUUACUGAUUCCUCCUUCUUGACGAACCAUGAUGUCAUUAAUUUGGUGUUGCGGGAAAUCAGGACUGUUACUUUGAAAAAAUUAGAGUGUUUAAAGCAGGCUAACGCUUGAAUACAUUAGCAUGGAAUAAUGAAAUAGGACGUUAAUCCCUAUUUUGUUGGUUUCUAGGAUCGACGUAAUGAUUAAUAGGGAUAGUUGGGGGGCAUUAGUAUUCNAUUUGUCAGAGGUGAAAUUCUUGGAUUUAUUGAAGACUAACUACUGCGAAAGCAUUUGCCAAGGAUGUUUUCAUUAAUCAAGAACGAAAGUUAGGGGAUCGAAGACGAUCAGAUACCGUCGUAGUCUUAACCAUAAACUAUGCCGACUAGGGAUCGGAUGAUGUUAAUUCUUUAAUGACUCAUUCGGCGCCUUACG
This 755-nucleotide ribosomal RNA is filed under the name uncultured Glomus. RNAcentral's name for it is "SSU rRNA". It matches the Rfam family "Eukaryotic small subunit ribosomal RNA", at positions 338 to 1092 of the family's 1831-position model. The record is from RNAcentral. Lineage: Eukaryota; Fungi; Glomeromycota; Glomeromycetes; Glomerales; Glomeraceae.